RNAcentral lists this ribosomal RNA (452 nucleotides) under Lancefieldella rimae. RNAcentral describes it as "bacterial SSU rRNA". It matches the Rfam family "Bacterial small subunit ribosomal RNA", at positions 28 to 488 of the family's 1533-position model. Lineage: Bacteria; Bacillati; Actinomycetota; Coriobacteriia; Coriobacteriales; Atopobiaceae. The record is from RNAcentral.
GAUGAACGCUGGCGGCGCGCCUAACACAUGCAAGUCGAACGGUUAAAGCACCUUUUAGGUGUGUAUAAAGUGGCGAACGGCUGAGUAACACGUGGGCAACCUGCCCUCCUCUUGGGGAUAGCCUCGGGAAACCGAGGAUAAUACCCGAUACUUCAAUGUGGCCGCAUGGCGACAUUGAGAAAGCUUUUGCGGAGAAGGAUGGGCCCGCGGCCUGUUAGCUUGUUGGUGGGGUAGAGGCCUACCAAGGCAAUGAUGGGUAGCUGGGUUGAGAGACCGACCAGCCAGAUUGGGACUGAGACACGGCCCAGACUCCUACGGGAGGCAGCAGUGGGGAAUCUUGCACAAUGGGCGAAAGCCUGAUGCAGCGACGCCGCGUGCGGGACGAAGGCCUUUCGGGUUGUAAACCGCUUUGCAGCAGGGACGAGGCGAUAAGUGACGGUACCUGCAGAAGA